AUGGCCAUGUGGCCUUCUUGGGUGAAGACGCGCGCUUCCAGGUCCAAAUCCUCCCCAUCCACCGCGCUCGUCGCCGCUGCCGCCACCACCCGGCGAUUCUCCAUCGCCUCCCACUCCCCCUCCCUCAAGGACAUCCCGUCGCUGGUCCGCCCGGAGCAACCCCGCCCGCCGCGCGUCUUCCACCGCCUCCGCGUCGCGGCCUCCGCCCUCCGCCUCCUCCGCGCCCUCAAGUCGGCCUCGGCGCACACCACCGCCCGGGAGCCAGAGGUGCACGUGGUGCUCUACUCCACCUCCCUCCGCGUCGUCCGCCGCACCUACGAGGACUGCUACACCGUGCGCUUCAUCCUGCGGGGGAUCGGCGCCACCGUCGACGAGCGCGACCUGGCCGUGGACACCGCCUUCGGCGCGGAGUUCGCCGCGCUCCUGCCGCCCCGCCUGGGCCUGGCCCUCCCGCAGGUCUUCGUGGACGGCCGCCACCUCGGGGGCGUCGAGGAGGUCCAGCGCCUCCACGAGUGCGGCGAGCUCAACCGCAUCGUCGUGGCCCCGGUAUCCCCCGGCCCGGCCCAUCCCCCCUGCGGCCGCUGCGGCGACGAGCGCCACGUGCCCUGCGGCAGCUGCGACGGGAGCCGGAAGAAGCAGAGCGACGACGGGAGCCGCAAGAAGCAGAGCGACGAGGACGGCGUCCUCACCUGCGCCGCCUGCAACGCGAGCGGCCUCGUCCGGUGCCCGGACUGCCUCUUCCCGGCGGCCGCCUGA
This 756-nucleotide ribosomal RNA is filed under the name Triticum aestivum (bread wheat). RNAcentral's name for it is "partial small subunit ribosomal RNA". The record is from RNAcentral. Lineage: Eukaryota; Viridiplantae; Streptophyta; Magnoliopsida; Poales; Poaceae.